GGACCUGCACAAAUGGUGGAGCAUGUUGUUUAAUUCGUCAGUACACGUAAACCUUACCAGGGAUUGAACGUCUGCAAAACGUUGGAAACAACGCAGAGGUUAACAGAUAGUCAGGGAUGCACGGUUGUCGUCAGCUCGUGUCGUGAGAUGUUGGGUUAAGUCCCGCAACGAGCGCAACCCUUCUCAUUAGUUAUUUUUUCUAAUGAUACUGCCUACGCAAGUAGGAGGAAGGUGGGGACGACGUCAAAUCAUCAUGUCCUUUAUAUCCUGGGCCACAAACGUGCUACAAUGGUCGGCACAAAGAGUCUUUUUUAGCAAUGUAGUAAUACAAAGCCAAAUCUCAAAAAGCCGAUCUCAGUUCGGAUUGAGGGUUGCAAUUCACCCUCAUGAAGCUGGAAUCAUUAGUAAUCGCAAAUCAGACAUGUUG
This 427-nucleotide ribosomal RNA is filed under the name uncultured Mycoplasmatota bacterium. RNAcentral describes it as "bacterial SSU rRNA". It matches the Rfam family "Bacterial small subunit ribosomal RNA", at positions 917 to 1359 of the family's 1533-position model. Lineage: Bacteria; Bacillati; Mycoplasmatota. The record is from RNAcentral.